This 2056-nucleotide ribosomal RNA is filed under the name Salmonella enterica. RNAcentral's name for it is "partial 23S ribosomal RNA". Lineage: Bacteria; Pseudomonadati; Pseudomonadota; Gammaproteobacteria; Enterobacterales; Enterobacteriaceae. The record is from RNAcentral.
UCGUCACACUAUCAUUAACUGAAUCCAUAGGUUAAUGAGGCGAACCGGGGGAACUGAAACAUCUAAGUACCCCGAGGAAAAGAAAUCAACCGAGAUUCCCCCAGUAGCGGCGAGCGAACGGGGAGGAGCCCAGAGCCUGAAUCAGCAUGUGUGUUAGUGGAAGCGUCUGGAAAGGCGCGCGAUACAGGGUGACAGCCCCGUACACAAAAGCGCAUGUGCUGUGAGCUCGAUGAGUAGGGCGGGACACGUGGUAUCCUGUCUGAAUAUGGGGGGACCAUCCUCCAAGGCUAAAUACUCCUGACUGACCGAUAGUGAACCAGUACCGUGAGGGAAAGGCGAAAAGAACCCCGGCGAGGGGAGUGAAAAAGAACCUGAAACCGUGUACGUACAAGCAGUGGGAGCACAGGUUUACCUGUGUGACUGCGUACCUUUUGUAUAAUGGGUCAGCGACUUAUAUUCUGUAGCAAGGUUAACCGWAUAGGGGAGCCGKAGGGAAACCGAGUCUUAAYYGGGCGUUAAGUUGCAGGGUAUAGACCCGAAACCCGGUGAUCUAGCCAUGGGCAGGUUGAAGGUUGGGUAACACUAACUGGAGGACCGAACCGACUAAUGUUGAAAAAUUAGCGGAUGACCUGUGGCUGGGGGUGAAAGGCCAAUGUUGGGUAGGGGAGCGUUCUGUAAGCCUGUGAAGGUGGCCUGUGAGGGUUGCUGGAGGUAUCAGAAGUGCGAAUGCUGACAUAAGUAACGAUAAAGCGGGUGAAAAGCCCGCUCGCCGGAAGACCAAGGGUUCCUGUCCAACGUUAAUCGGGGCAGGGUGAGUCGACCCCUAAGGCGAGGCCGAAAGGCGUAGUCGAUGGGAAACGGGUUAAUAUUCCCGUACUUGGUGUUACUGCGAAGGGGGGACGGAGAAGGCUAUGUUGGCCGGGCGACGGUUGUCCCGGUUUAAGCGUGUAGGUGUGUGUUCCAGGUAAAUCCGGUUCACUUUAACACUGAGGCGUGAYGACGAGGCACUACGGUGCUGAAGCAACAAAUGCCCUGCUUCCAGGAAAAGCCUCUAAGCAUCAGGUAACAUCAAAUCGUACCCCAAACCGACACAGGUGGUCAGGUAGAGAAUACCAAGGCGCUUGAGAGAACUCGGGUGAAGGAACUAGGCAAAAUGGUGCCGUAACUUCGGGAGAAGGCACGCUGACAYGUAGGUGAAGUGAUUUACUCAYGGAGCUGAAGUCAGUCGAAGAUACCAGCUGGCUGCAACUGUUUAUUAAAAACACAGCACUGUGCAAACACGAAAGUGGACGUAUACGGUGUGACGCCUGCCCGGUGCCGGAAGGUUAAUUGAUGGGGUCAGCGCAAGCGAAGCUCCUGAUCGAAGCCCCGGUAAACGGCGGCCGUAACUAUAACGGUCCUAAGGUAGCGAAAUUCCUUGUCGGGUAAGUUCCGACCUGCACGAAUGGCGUAAUGAUGGCCAGGCUGUCUCCACCCGAGACUCAGUGAAAUUGAACUCGCUGUGAAGAUGCAGUGUACCCGCGGCAAGACGGAAAGACCCCGUGAACCUUUACUAUAGCUUGACACUGAACAUUGAGCCUUGAUGUGUAGGAUAGGUGGGAGGCUUUGAAGYGUGGACGCCAGUCUGCAUGGAGCCGACCUUGAAAUACCACCCUUUAAUGUUUGAUGUUCUAACGUGGACCCGUAAUCCGGGUUGCGGACAGUGUCUGGUGGGUAGUUUGACUGGGGCGGUCUCCUCCUAAAGAGUAACGGAGGAGCACGAAGGUUGGCUAAUCCUGGUCGGACAUCAGGAGGUUAGUGCAAUGGCAUAAGCCAGCUUGACUGCGAGCGUGACGGCGUGUUCGGGUUGUCAUGCCAAUGGCACUGCCCGGUAGCUAAAUGCGGAAGAGAUAAGUGCUGAAAGCAUCUAAGCACGAAACUUGCCCCGAGAUGAGUUCUCCCUGAGACUUAGAGUCUCCUGAAGGAACGUUGAAGACGACGACGUUGAUAGGCCGGGUGUGUAAGCGCAGCGAUGCGUUGAGCUAACCGGUACUAAUGAACCGUGAGGCUUAACCUU